GUAACAAGGUUUCCGUAGGUGAACCUGCGGAAGGAUCAUUAUCGAAAGAAAUCUCAGGCAGGGGGGGAAGGUGGUUGUAGCUGGCCCUUAGGGGUAUGUGCACACUGCCUGUCUCUCUUGUUUGUUUCU
Molecule: ribosomal RNA, 129 nt
Filed under: Amanita subfrostiana
Lineage: Eukaryota; Fungi; Basidiomycota; Agaricomycetes; Agaricales; Amanitaceae
Description: partial 18S ribosomal RNA
Rfam family: Eukaryotic small subunit ribosomal RNA (bases 1-41)
Source: RNAcentral